RNAcentral lists this long non-coding RNA (1995 nucleotides) under Gallus gallus (chicken). RNAcentral's name for it is "lncRNA (ENSGALG00010000553.1)". Lineage: Eukaryota; Metazoa; Chordata; Aves; Galliformes; Phasianidae. The record is from RNAcentral.
GAGCUGGGCCGGCCGCCGCCUGGCCGCCGCCGUGUGCCUGCUGUGCGCCCUCACGCCCGCGGUCGCGCUGGCCUGGCUGAUCCGCAAGAGGAGCCUCUAGGCGAGACGGGCGCUGGCCGGAGCGGGGAGCAGGCGGGACGCGCAACAGGCUGGAGAAAACCCUGUGCCCUUGGAGAAAAUUGUUUCCCCUCUUCCUACAGGGAAUCCAGAGCCUGAGCAGCAGCUGUGAAGAGUGGAGAUAAAGAAAGAAGUGGAAGAUGUUGGAAGAGCUUUGGGCAACGUGAAGAAGGAUUUGCACUGAAGGAGCUGUUCAAGGGCCCAGCCGCAAAACAGAGACACAUACAUGCUUAUAUAUAGAAGAAUGUAAACCCUCCUGUAUGCAUACGUUAAAACGUGCAUGCCUUGUUGAGAACGUAAGCAACAUUCCUUGUAGAUGAUGGUGGUAUGAGCAUUUGUGCUCCUGCAGUCUGAGUCAAGAGAUUAGUGAUGUCCCUGCUGUGAUGCUAGCGUUGUCUCCCCUGCACCUUGUCUAUGGUGACAUAAGUGUCCCUUUCGAUGCAGCAAGCAAGAGAAAGUAGAUACACAUCUGGAGGUAAAUAAUAUCUGCUGCAACGUGGGCAUGUUGUAACCGUGGCGGUGGGGGAAGAGGUGCUGAGCAGCUCGGACAGCAGACAGUUUGUGUGUGUAUAUAUUAAGCUCUAUAGCACCAGGUGAGAUAAGCUUUUCUUACGGUUUUUGUUUCUCUGGUGCUACAUUUACUAUUUGUCUGGGGCUUGAUUGCCUCUCUGUGGUGCUACAGUUUCCCCAAGAGGAUGUUCUGAAACAUGGGACAAGGAGAAAUCUAUUUUGGUUAUUGAUAUUUAUACACAAAAGAGCAAAAAAUACUACUUGUUGAGAAGGUGCUAUUUUUUUUUUCUUUCUUUCAGCCUCUGCGUAAACGAAGGCAAAACAAACCAUCCCGCUCAGAGCUGUACAGAACUGAUUUUCUUUGGGGCAGCUCUUUCUCUUGGCGCGGUUCUGAGCUUGGGAAGCAGCGUUCACGGAGGUGGUGAGGACACAGCAGCUCCUGUCACAGCUGUGUCCACAUCAAAGUCUGCUACUGCAGAACCUCCCGGAUGGGGGUGUAGGCAGUCCUCAACUCCUGUGAUCCAGGGAAAAGAGUUACAUCUGGGCUCAGCAGGAGACUCGUUGGCAGUGAUCCUUACGCACAUUUUUUAGAAACAUUUUUCCCAGCUUUGGAUAUUUGCAGCACAAAAUUGACCUUCACGUGGCAGGGGGGACUUCCAAAGGCAUACAGGGAUGUUAUAGGAGUUCAGUUUCCAAAGGAGGUUCCUUGUCUUUUAAAGACACUUCCUAACCUGCAACCAAUCAAGGAGCAAACUGCUCCAUCCCUGUCAGACUUUCGGUUUGUCGCUACUGCAGGAGAAAUGUUUCUAAGCAAUCUAAAGGCUAAAUUGUCUCUUUAUCAAAUAUUCACCGAUGUGUUUUGGGCACCUGCACACAUAUUCAUGGGGAAUAUUGAUCCGAGUCAGUUCCCAAACAGCAGAAGGGCUACGCUGAAAGCGCAAAUUGUUCCUAAUGAGUAACCUUGCCCUACUUUAUAUCAUGCGCAGUGGUGGGAGGGAUCAUGUAGCUAAGUGUAUUUUGUCUGUGGGUAGAGUGUGGAUGGCCUCAGAGCCGCAGGGAUUAGCCACCCAUCAAACACUGUUCUGCCACUUGUGGCCUGAUGCAUCCCACGUCCCUGCCCGGCUCAGUCUCCUACUGAUCUAAGUAAGAAUUCUUCUAGCAAAAGGAGGAGCCCCAGCUGAUUUCAGCAGUGCUGCAAGGAUUAGUGACUGCCGGAUCAGGUACAGCCUAAAAAACACAGUUUUCUGCAAAAAAGCCAGGGGAGCUGGCUUACACAUCUCAGUGCAAGACAGAGGGCUCUCCCACAUUCCCCUCACCCUUAACAGUUAUUACUAGCUCCUGAGAUCUGAAUGUUUAUAAUAAACUUCU